RNAcentral lists this ribosomal RNA (496 nucleotides) under uncultured bacterium. RNAcentral's name for it is "partial 16S ribosomal RNA". It matches the Rfam family "Bacterial small subunit ribosomal RNA", at positions 30 to 523 of the family's 1533-position model. The record is from RNAcentral.
AUUGAACGCUGGCGGAAUGCUUUACACAUGCAAGUCGAACGGUAGAGGGGGCAACCCCUCGAGAGUGGCGAACGGGUGAGUAAUAUAUCGGAACGUGCCCAGUCGUGGGGGAUAACGUCGCGAAAGUUACGCUAAUACCGCAUACGAUCUAAGGAUGAAAGCGGGGGAGCGCAAGACCUCGCGCGAUUGGAGCGGCCGAUAUCAGAUUAGGUAGUUGGUGGGGUAAAGGCUCACCAAGCCAACGAUCUGUAGCUGGUCUGAGAGGACGAUCAGCCACACUGGGACUGAGACACGGCCCAGACUCCUACGGGAGGCAGCAGUGGGGAAUUUUGGACAAUGGGCGCAAGCCUGAUCCAGCAAUGCCGCGUGCAGGAUGAAGGCCUUCGGGUUGUAAACUGCUUUUGUACGGAACGAAAAGCCCUGGGUUAAUACCCUGGGGUCAUGACGGUACCGUAAGAAUAAGCACCGGCUAACUACGUGCCAGCCGCCGCCGUAA